Molecule: transfer RNA, 70 nt
Filed under: Anoplotermes sp. E4
Lineage: Eukaryota; Metazoa; Arthropoda; Insecta; Blattodea; Termitidae
Also listed under: 1 other name
Description: tRNA-Cys
Source: RNAcentral
GGCCUUGUAUUCAUUUUGUGAUUAUAGAAUGCAAUUCUGUAGGGGUAGGUUGAAGGACCUAUCAAGGCCU